Molecule: ribosomal RNA, 468 nt
Filed under: uncultured bacterium
Lineage: Bacteria
Description: partial 16S ribosomal RNA
Rfam family: Bacterial small subunit ribosomal RNA
Source: RNAcentral
GACGAACGCUGGCGGCGUGCUUAACACAUGCAAGUCGAACGGAAAGGCCCUGCUUUUGUGGGGUGCUCGAUUGGCGAACGGGUGAGUAACACGUGAGUAACCUGCCCUUGACUUUGGGAUAACUUCAGGAAACUGGGGCUAAUACCGGAUAGGAGCUCCUGCUGCAUGGUGGGGGUUGGAAAGUUUCGGCGGUUGGGGAUGGACUCGCGGCUUAUCAGCUUGUUUGUGGGGUAGUGACUUACCAAGGCUUUGACGGGUAGCCGGCCUGAGAGGGUGACCGGCCACAUGGGGACUGAGAGAGGGCCCAGAAUCCUACGGGAGGCAGAAGGGGGGAAUAUUGCACAAUGGGCGGAAGCCUGAGGCAGAAACGCCGCGUGCGGGAUGACGGCUUACGGGGUGUAAACCGCUGUCGCCUGUGACGAAGCGUGAGUGACGGUAAUGGGUAAAGAAGCACCGGCUAACUACGUG